RNAcentral lists this ribosomal RNA (490 nucleotides) under uncultured bacterium. RNAcentral's name for it is "partial 16S ribosomal RNA". It matches the Rfam family "Bacterial small subunit ribosomal RNA", at positions 30 to 507 of the family's 1533-position model. The record is from RNAcentral.
AUUGAACGCUGGCGGCAGGCCUAACACAUGCAAGUCGAACGGUAACAGGAAGAAGCUUGCUUCUUUGCUGACGAGUGGCGGACGGGUGAGUAAUGUCUGGGAAACUGCCUGAUGGAGGGGGAUAACUACUGGAAACGGUAGCUAAUACCGCAUAAUGUCGCAAGACCAAAGAGGGGGACCUUCGGGCCUCUUGCCAUCGGAUGUGCCCAGAUGGGGUUAGCUAGUAGGUGGGGUACCGGCUCACCUAGGCGACGAUCCCUAGCUGGUCUGAGAGGAUGACCAGCCACACUGGAACUGAGACACGGUCCAGACUCCUACGGGAGGCAGCAGUGGGGAAUAUUGCACAAUGGGCGCAAGCCUGAUGCAGCUAUGCCGCGUGUAUGAAGAAGGCCUUCGGGUUGUAAAGUACUUUCAGCGGGGAGGAAGGGAGUAAAGUUAAUACCUUUGCUCAUUGACGUUACCCGCAGAAGAAGCACCGGCUAACUCCGUG